GCUUACGGCCAUACCACCCUGAACACGCCCGAUCUCGUCUGAUCUCGGAAGCUAAGCAGGGUCGGGCCUGGUUAGUACUUGGAUGGGAGACCGCCUGGG
RNAcentral lists this ribosomal RNA (99 nucleotides) under Merluccius bilinearis (silver hake). The record is from RNAcentral. Lineage: Eukaryota; Metazoa; Chordata; Actinopteri; Gadiformes; Merlucciidae. RNAcentral also lists the same sequence under 8 other names.